Molecule: ribosomal RNA, 119 nt
Filed under: Pteropus alecto (black flying fox)
Lineage: Eukaryota; Metazoa; Chordata; Mammalia; Chiroptera; Pteropodidae
Source: RNAcentral
GUCUACGGCCAUGCUACCCUGAACACACCCGAUCCCAUCUGAUCUCGGAAGCUAAGCAGGGUUGGGCCUGAUUAGUACUUGAAUGAGAGACCACCUAGGAAGACCAGGUGCUAUAGGCA